GCUCAGACACUUAAAUGAAUUGACGGGGCCCGCACAAGCGGUGGAGUAUGUGGUUUAAUUCGAUGCAACGCGAAGAACCUUACCUGGUCUUGACAUCCCGGAGACCCUUAGGAAACUAGGGGGUGCUUCCAUCUGGAAGAAUCUGGAGACAGGUGCUGCAUGGCUGUCGUCAGCUCGUGUCGUGAGAUGUUGGGUUAAGUCCCGCAACGAGCGCAACCCUUGCCUUUAGUUGCCAGCAGUUCGGCUGGGCACUCUAAAGGGACUGCCGGUGUUAAACCGGAGGAAGGUGGGGAUGACGUCAAGUCCUCAUGGCCUUUAUGACCAGGGCUACACACGUACUACAAUGGCCGAUACAAAGGGCAGCGACACUGCGAGGUGAAGCCAAUCCCGUAAAAUCGGUCUCAGUCCGGAUUGGAGUCUGCAACUCGACUCCAUGAAGUUGGAAUCGCUAGUAAUCGCGCAUCAGCCAUGGCGCGGUGAAUACGUUCCCGGGCCUU
This 497-nucleotide ribosomal RNA is filed under the name uncultured Desulfobulbus sp. RNAcentral describes it as "bacterial SSU rRNA". It matches the Rfam family "Bacterial small subunit ribosomal RNA", at positions 891 to 1382 of the family's 1533-position model. The record is from RNAcentral. Lineage: Bacteria; Pseudomonadati; Thermodesulfobacteriota; Desulfobulbia; Desulfobulbales; Desulfobulbaceae.